This 200-nucleotide ribosomal RNA is filed under the name uncultured bacterium. RNAcentral's name for it is "partial 16S ribosomal RNA". It matches the Rfam family "Bacterial small subunit ribosomal RNA", at positions 30 to 242 of the family's 1533-position model. The record is from RNAcentral.
AUUGAACGCUGGCGGCAGGCCUAACACAUGCAAGUCGAGCGGGGUUUUCGGACUUAGCGGCGGACGGGUGAGUAAUGCGUAGGAAGCUGCCCGAUAGAGGGGGAUACCAGUUGGAAACGACUGUUAAUACCGCAUAAUGUCUACGGACCAAAGUGUGGGACCUUCGGGCCACAUGCUAUCGGAUGCGCCUACGUGGGAUU